This 402-nucleotide ribosomal RNA is filed under the name uncultured Microvirga sp. RNAcentral describes it as "bacterial SSU rRNA". It matches the Rfam family "Bacterial small subunit ribosomal RNA", at positions 355 to 774 of the family's 1533-position model. The record is from RNAcentral. Lineage: Bacteria; Pseudomonadati; Pseudomonadota; Alphaproteobacteria; Hyphomicrobiales; Methylobacteriaceae.
UGGGGAAUAUUGGACAAUGGGCGCAAGCCUGAUCCAGCCAUGCCGCGUGAGUGAUGAAGGCCUUAGGGUUGUAAAGCUCUUUCGGCGGGGACGAUAAUGACGGUACCCGCAGAAGAAGCCCCGGCUAACUUCGUGCCAGCAGCCGCGGUAAUACGAAGGGGGCUAGCGUUGUUCGGAAUCACUGGGCGUAAAGGGCGCGUAGGCGGCUUUAUAAGUCGGGGGUGAAAGCCUGUGGCUCAACCACAGAAUUGCCUUCGAUACUGUAGAGCUUGAGACCGGAAGAGGUAAGUGGAACUGCGAGUGUAGAGGUGAAAUUCGUAGAUAUUCGCAAGAACACCAGUGGCGAAGGCGGCUUACUGGUCCGGUUCUGACGCUGAGGCGCGAAAGCGUGGGGAGCAAACA